This 647-nucleotide ribosomal RNA is filed under the name Rhizobium sp. BGF6. RNAcentral's name for it is "bacterial SSU rRNA". It matches the Rfam family "Bacterial small subunit ribosomal RNA", at positions 93 to 775 of the family's 1533-position model. The record is from RNAcentral. Lineage: Bacteria; Pseudomonadati; Pseudomonadota; Alphaproteobacteria; Hyphomicrobiales; Rhizobiaceae.
GAGCGGCAGACGGGUGAGUAACGCGUGGGAAUCUACCUUUUGCUACGGAAUAACGCAGGGAAACUUGUGCUAAUACCGUAUGUGUCCUUCGGGAGAAAGAUUUAUCGGCAAGAGAUGAGCCCGCGUUGGAUUAGCUAGUUGGUGGGGUAAAGGCCUACCAAGGCGACGAUCCAUAGCUGGUCUGAGAGGAUGAUCAGCCACAUUGGGACUGAGACACGGCCCAAACUCCUACGGGAGGCAGCAGUGGGGAAUAUUGGACAAUGGGCGCAAGCCUGAUCCAGCCAUGCCGCGUGAGUGAUGAAGGCCCUAGGGUUGUAAAGCUCUUUCACCGGAGAAGAUAAUGACGGUAUCCGGAGAAGAAGCCCCGGCUAACUUCGUGCCAGCAGCCGCGGUAAUACGAAGGGGGCUAGCGUUGUUCGGAAUUACUGGGCGUAAAGCGCACGUAGGCGGAUCGAUCAGUCAGGGGUGAAAUCCCAGGGCUCAACCCUGGAACUGCCUUUGAUACUGUCGAUCUGGAGUAUGGAAGAGGUGAGUGGAAUUCCGAGUGUAGAGGUGAAAUUCGUAGAUAUUCGGAGGAACACCAGUGGCGAAGGCGGCUCACUGGUCCAUUACUGACGCUGAGGUGCGAAAGCGUGGGGAGCAAACAG